GAUGAACGCUGGCGGCGUGCCUAAUACAUGCAAGUCGAGCGAACGGACGAGAAGCUUGCUUCUCUGAUGUUAGCGGCGGACGGGUGAGUAACACGUGGAUAACCUACCUAUAAGACUGGGAUAACUUCGGGAAACCGUAGCUAAUACCGGAUAAUAUUUUGAACCGCAUGGUUCAAAAGUGAAAGACGGUCUUGCUGUCACUUAUAGAUGGAUCCGCGCUGCAUUAGCUAGUUGGUAAGGUAACGGCUUACCAAGGCAACGAUGCAUAGCCGACCUGAGAGGGUGAUCGGCCACACUGGAACUGAGUCACGGUCCAGACUCCUACGGGAGGCAGCAGUAGGGAAUCUUCCGCAAUGGGCGAAAGCCUGACGGAGCAACGCCGCGUGAGUGAUGAAGGUCUUCGGAUCGUAAAACUCUGUUAUUAGGGAAGAACAUAUGUGUAAGUAACUGUGCACAUCUUGACGGUACCUAAUCAGAAAGCCACGGCUAACUACGUG
Molecule: ribosomal RNA, 497 nt
Filed under: uncultured bacterium
Lineage: Bacteria
Description: partial 16S ribosomal RNA
Rfam family: Bacterial small subunit ribosomal RNA
Source: RNAcentral